AUGUACUUUUGCCGUGAAAGGAGGACCACGGCCGCGAAAAGAAGAAAGCAUUUCGUGCCGCACUCAAUCCUCGUCCAUCAAUUUCCAGUUGCCGCAAAGCCCUUCUCAUCCCGUCACCACAAAAACGACACGCCACGCAUGCACCAAGGCAGCUGGGUUAAGAAUCUAUCAGCCCAGCAACACUACACAGUCGUGUACGGUGCGCUGGCAGUUGGUUUUCCAUACCGCUGCACAUAUUUUCCCGACGGUUCACGCAUGCCAUGCGCUCUCGUUGCCUUCCCGGUCUGCGCACGGGCACGGCUUAGCGAGCCGGAGCGCGACGGCUGA
Molecule: ribosomal RNA, 327 nt
Filed under: Triticum aestivum (bread wheat)
Lineage: Eukaryota; Viridiplantae; Streptophyta; Magnoliopsida; Poales; Poaceae
Description: partial small subunit ribosomal RNA
Source: RNAcentral